Non-coding RNA from Xylariaceae sp. FL0016, 87 nucleotides. Lineage: Eukaryota; Fungi; Ascomycota; Sordariomycetes; Xylariales; Xylariaceae. The record is from the annotation of a GenBank genome assembly.
GGGCCCAUAGCUCAGGGGUAGAGCGCUCGCUUUGCAUUCUCUCUCUGCGUCUGCGAGAGGCCUGGGGUUCAAAUCCCCAUGGGUCCA